AAGUUUUUUUUUUUUUUUUUUUAAAAGGUACCGCAGUAACACACCCAACGUCUUCUAAGAAGCCUUCUAAAUUUUGAGACCUUCAGCUUCCCAGGACUGUUUUCUGUUUUCUGCGUAAUCAGUUGAUGUCUUGAGUGUGCAAAAAGAAAUCCAGAACUAUAAGCACAAGUUCCAGAACCCAACUCUAUGAGAUAAACUAGUCCACUGCAAAUGUAACAGCACACCAACAAAUUCAUGAUUUACAACAGUUCACAGUGCACAGUGCUCAGCACACCUAAUAAUGAACCUUCUCAUCAUUGUCAAAGUUCAGCCCCUCGAUUCCCUUGAGAGCAGAUUCAUAGGUCUUCAUGUGCGUGGCAUUUCUGGCUGAUGACGAACGUCUGGGGUCUGCUGCAGAACCAAGAGGACUCCUUUGCCCACUUGAAAUUUUAUGCAUGUUUCCCGGGCUUGCAUCAGUUGUGCGAGACCGUUGGGGAUCAGCUUCACUUCCAACAAAUAUAUCACGACUGGUAGAAACGGUAGCAGCUUGUCUCGAGGAUCGACUUGAUCGCCCCAUAAAAGUAGAGCUUGGCAACAUGGGAUCCUUAUUAAGUGAAGAAUCAUUGGCAACUGGGCUCUUCUGCUUUGCAUAACCUCCGGUACUUAGGAUAGGUCCUGAAAAUCUACGCCGAGCAGAAUCUGUAGACUGCCCUGCCUGUCGUGCAUCUUCCCCACCUAGAACAAGGUGUAGAAGAAAGUAUAAACCACAAGCAGAUCUCAAAGCAAAAAUUUCAACUUCUCUUUACAACUUGGAGAUACAAGGCCAGCUAUUCUUUAUUGAUUGAAGAUUAUCUGUACAAGUUCGAGUGGUGACAAGUAAGCUCAAUUUCAUCUGGAUUCCAAGUUCAUUUCUUGCCAAGUAAAUCUGUAUACAAUACAAGAAACAAGAAAAGGAAUGCAAACUAUAGUAGUAAUUUUGUCUUCCAUCAUGAAGGAUGAGGCCCCAGUCCUAGGCCCAAAAAAAGCUGCACGUUAGUGGGGGCUUUUCAUGGCACUAGGCCAGCUCAACAGUGAAGCAGGUUUGGUAUGUUAGCUCAUAUGGAGCCAAUCCACCCAUUUAAUAAAAUAUUACAAUUUUUAUUUUUUGAUCUAAUACAUGCAUUUUGCAUAGUCAUU
This 1155-nucleotide unclassified non-coding RNA is filed under the name Hevea brasiliensis (rubber tree). Lineage: Eukaryota; Viridiplantae; Streptophyta; Magnoliopsida; Malpighiales; Euphorbiaceae. The record is from RNAcentral.